CUGGCCAGGCCUGGCAUUUUCCACCCCUGCAAGCCUGCUGGCUUUAGGCCUCAGGCUAAAAUGAGCUAGAUCCUGACAGUAUUUCAUGGGAAGCCACCAGGGCAGGCAGGCAGGGAAGGUCCAGACAAAGGUCACCAUGUGAGGGGUCAGGAGUAUGUGUGGGUAAAGCUGCAGAAGAAGAUGGCCAGCCAGGGGUCUUCCAGGAGCUUGGGGGCGGGGAACUUGGAGCUUCCUCCUGAAGACACUUUAGCAGGGAACAGACAGGUCCCAUUGGUGUUUUUAAAGAUUUUAUUUAUUUUAGAGAGUGGGGGAGCAGGGAGGAGCAGAGGAACAAACAGACUCUGUUCUGAGCCCGGAGCCCACGACCCUGAGAUUGUGACCUGAGCCAAAGCCAAGAGUCAGAUGCUUAACCAGCUGAGCCACCCAGGUGCCUCCCCACCGCCUUUUUGUUUGUUUGUUUUUAAGAUUUUAUUUAUUAAUUUAUUUGAGGGAGAGAGAAGGAGGUGUUUUUAAAGUAGUUCUCUGCCUGCUGAGUGGAGAGUGCUAGAGGCCGGGGGGAGAAUGUCACAACAGUCCAGAGCUAGAUGCUCAUGCCUGCACGUGGGUAGGAACCAGAGGACUCCAGAGAUCCUGGUGGUAGACUGAGGCUGGGGGCGCCAGCAGCAGGAAGAAGGAGGACCCUGGGGUGUGCAGCCUGGGGGAACGGGUGGCCCAUGGUGCCCUUCCUGAGAUGGACACUGGGAGGGAAGAUGUUGUCUGUAGCUUGGAGACAUCUGGGAGGCUGUAGCCUCCAUUAGGCUGGCACUCGAGAGAGAAGGCCAGGCUGGAGGGGACGAUUUGGGAGUCAGGGCACGGGACAGUAAGGGACCCCAUGGGAUGGAAGGUGUGGGUGAGGGCAGGUACCGAGCAAGAGAAGAACUGAGCCCAGGGAGAAACAGGCCCACUCCAGGCGGAGGGGGCACCCUGCCACCGUCAGGAAGGAGAAUCAGGGUGGCAUCGACAGGGCCACCGGUGAGGCUGGAGGGGAGGGGUAGAGGGAAGAAGGCCAUGCUGGAUGCGCUGGGGAGAUACCGCCCUCGUCCCCUCCUCAGUCGCCAAGAAUGCCCGAUUCCACGGUGGGUGGGGUGCGUCCGGGCCGGGAUCUGUACACUCGGCCAGACCCCAUUGGCUGGCGGGCUGGAGCCGGCGCAGAGACAGGCCCCGCUGAUGCAACGUGGGCCUAUCGUUGCAGGCCCCGCUGAGGGGGUGCAGCUGUGCAGGCCGCUGCCCAGAGGUUCCAGCAGGGAGGGGGGACGGGCUCCCGGGGGCAGGCUGGAGCGCUGGGACUGCAGCGCAGCCCGGCUCCAAGGCUGUCUGCUCUGCGUCUGCUCUGACUCACGGGGGAAACACGCCUUUCAUGGAAGCGCCCAGAGCCCUCGGCCCGAUUUUGAGUUUCUUGAAGAAUCCCUGGAUGGCUUCUGGUUUGUCACUGGGUCCCUGUUAUCCAGCACAAAGGCUGCGGGACACAAAGAAGUACUAAAGCAAGAAUGGCAACGAUGACAACCUCCACUGAGUGCUAACUCUGUACCAGGCCCUGGGGCGAGCUUCAUGGUGCAUUAUCGCCUUAAUCCUGGUAGAGUCUUAUGUGCGUGCCAGCUGCUGAGCUGAGCUUCUCCUAACUUCCUUCCGACUUCAAGCCUCAAUCAGUUCACGGAAGCUGGCCACUCGGAUCUUCCUUCAAGAGAGCCUACGGCGCGGAGUGGAAGGAAGCAUGGGAUCUCUUGACCGGGGACAAUAGCACCCAGAAGACUGACGGACCAUCUGCAAACUUUGAUGUUUACAGUUGAAGAAACCAUGACCAAGUGUAGUAAACCAUAUCAUUUGUUCUCCAUUCUUCCUUCGACCGUUGCCAUGGUCCACUGAGGGUAGAGGGUACUUCCUUGCUCUGUUGAGAUUGGCUUGGUCAUGUGACUUGCUUUGGCCAGUGGAAUGUGGCCAGAAGAGACUGGGUGAUUGUUCUGAUCCCAGGCCUUAAGAGGCAUCACGUGUUUCCACUCGCACCCUGGGAGUUUCUGUCAUCCACCUUGAGGAAAGCAUGCUCUGAGUGGCCAGUGAUCCCAGAGUGAGAGGCACAUGGAGCAGACCUGAGCCUGAAAGACAGCCUGAAGCCUUCCCUGCCAUCCCAGCCUACAUGCAGACUGUGAGCAGGACAGAGGAAUAUUGCUUAUAAGCCACUCAGAUUUUUAGUUGUUUGUUAUGUGGCUUUAUCCUAGCAGUAGCUGACCAAUGCACCAAGGUAAGAGAAGUCAUAUCACAAAAGGUCACAUUAGAAGUCACAGUGUGUGAAUCUUAUCAAUGCUAUGCAUAUAGAAUUGUUUAGUAAAACAAGAAAAGUUCAAAAUAUUAUCAACAAACAUCAUUGUGACAGAACAAAACACAUGUUUGUGUGCUGAUCAGUAUGGGACAAAUUGGGCAGAUGGUCUGCCAAGCACCUUGUUUCUGAGAAUUGCCUCUGCCCCCUCCGUCCACAUUUGCAAACAUAGAUACCACAGUCCUUUACUCUCAACCUCCAUGAUGAGGAAUGAGGACAUAGUCAAUCUAGGCCACAUGCCUUCUUUCCAAGAAUUUUGGACCUAGGACCGAGAUAGAAAGCUCAGUUUCUCUUUGGGGGGAUGGACCAUAAUAUUAAUUUGGGACCUGUUUGAUGGUACUGUUUUUGCCUCAUCCUGAGGCCUGACUGCACCCCUGCCCUUCGAGGUUGGGGGACUCCCCCAUAUCCUUUCACUGAAUUCCCCUUUGUGCUGAAACUUGUUCAGUUACAAAAACUGAAUCAGAAGAGAACUCUGUGGGAAGCAGAAGGUGGCAUUUUGAGUUUAUGAAAAUUUCUUUGGUAAAGUUCUUACUAUCAUGUGGCACAUCUGUCUCCACCCACUAAACCAGACACUCCCCCAGGGCAGAAGAUGGGGCCUGGUUCCAUUCUGCGUGCUCCUGUGACAGCCUCAGGUCUGGUGUGGUCUGGGUGCUCCGCAAAGCUUCCUUGAAUUGAGUCAUUAUAGGAAGUCACAGUUAGUAUCCCCUUUCCUGUGGUGUUGGUUGGUUGGGGGAUACUUUUAUUGCCAUGUUCAUAGCAGCAUCAUGCACAGCAGCCAAAAGGUGAACGCAAUGGAUGAAUGGAGAAAAUACAUACAAUGGAAUAUUAUUCAGCCCUCAAAAGGAAGGACAUUCUGACACAUGCUACAACAUGGAUGAGCCUUGAAGACAUCAUGCUAAGUGAUGUCUGUAUGGUUCCACUUACAUGAGGUAACUAAAGUAGUCAAAUUCAUAAAGACAGAAAGUAGAAUGGUGGUUGGCAGGGGCUGCGGGGAUGAGGGAGUAGGGUGUCAUUGUUUAACAGGCACUGACUUUUGUAAGACGAGGAAAGUUCUGGAGACGGGUGGCCGUGAUGGUUGCACAACAUUGUGAACAGACUUCAUGCCACCGAACUGGACACUGACAAACAGUGCAAACAUAAAUUUUAUGUUAUGUAUAUUUUAGCACAAUUUUUUUUUUAAAGUAAAAUGCUUGGACCAGUGCCUAGUACACAAUACACACCCCAGAACAGAGGGUCCAAACUCCUUUCAUAAUGAUCCUAAGGCAUCCUUUGCCUUUUUCACGGGGGUGAUGGGGCAAAACAAGGGUAGUUCAACCACGGGUGCCCCCAUACCCAUCAGAGCGCCACACUGGCCUAGAAAUAGCCAUAUUCUUUGCUGCCAUGCCCUCGCAAUAAAACACUGCCAACACCACUCAAGAAAGCAGUAACAUUAUUUUAUUGAUGAAACAAUAAAAUGUAUUCAAUUCAUUAUAUAGUGACCCUUGAAUGUACACCUUUUUAAUAUUCUUUUUUUUUAAAGAUUUUAUUUAUUUAUUUGAGACAGAGAGAAUGAGAGAGACAGAGAGCACAUGAGAGGGGGGAGGGUCAGAGGGAGAAGCAGGCUCCCCGCUGAGCAGGGAGCCCGAUGCGGGACUCAAUCCAGGGACUCCAGGAUCAUGACCCGAGCCAAAGGCUCAACCAACUGAGCCACCCAAGGCGCCCCUUAAUAUUCUUUUUUUUAAAAAAAGAUUUUAUUUAUUUAUUUGACAGAGAGAUAGAGAGCCAGAGAGCCCAAGCAGAGGGAAUGGCAGAGGGAGAGGGAGAAGCAGACUCCCCACUGAUGCGGGGCUUGAUCCCAGGACUCUGGGAUCAUGACCUGAACUGAAGGCAGACGCUUAACCAUCUGAACCACCCAGGCGCCCCCCUUUUUAAUAUUCUGUGUGGCAAAACGGGAAGUAUCAUAAAGCACUUCUGCUGUAGACAGAAGCAUCAUGGCUGUCUCCAGGAAAAGCGUUUGUGUUUUUUGAAUUAUUUGAAUUGUGAGCUAAACCAGCCACUUUUUUCAUGGAACACCAUUUUUACUUGGAAGAAAAAUUGACAGGCAAAUUAUAGUUACGCAGACUUGAGUAUCUGGCAGGCAUUUUCUCAAAAACGAAUAAGUGAGCCUGUCAUUUCAAGGUAGACUGACGGUAUUUGCUGCUAAUGAUAAAAUUCAAGCUUUCAAGUGAAAAUUAGAAUUUUGGAAAACUUGUGUUCACCAGUGUAAGCCUGACAGCUUCUCAAUAUGUAAAGAUUUCUCUGAUGAGAUCUGUAGCGAUAUUAAUGAAUUUGAUUUUUUAAUAUUAUAUGCUAAAAUUUAUCAGUUUUUGAAAGAUAACUUGGUGAACUUUUUUUUUUUCCCCCAUAACGGCCAAUGCAUGCUGUUACAAAAUCAUGCAUGGGUAAAAGAUACAUUCAAAGAGCAAAAGAAGGGCACCUGGCUGGCUCAGCUGGUAGAGCAUGGGACUCUUGAUCUUGGGCUCAUGAGUUUGAGCCCCACGUUGGGUGGAGAGCUUGCUUAAAAAAAUGCAAAAGAAACUAAUGGAUAUUACCGUAACUGAGGAAGAAAAUUUCAUUGAUAUGAUUUCAAAUUCUAAUAGCAACUAACUGCCAAGAAAUUUGUAGAAUUUUGGUUAGUAUCAAAGGAGAAUAUCCACAAUUAUUUGAAAAUAAUUCUUUUUUAGCUUCUAGCUAAAAUCUUUUCUAGCUACGAAUCAGUAUAAGUCUGUAUUUUCUUUGUAAGCUUCAAACAAAACAAUAUAUUGUAUCCGAUUGAACGCUGAAACAGAGGAGAAUCCAGCUGUCUUCUAUUAAGCCAAGCAUUAAAGAAAUGUGUAAACCUAUGAAACAAUGCCACUCUUCUCACUAGUUUUUUUGUUGUUGUUGUUUAGGAAAAUAUGUUUUUCAUAAAAAUAUGUUAAAAUUUAAUAUGAUUGUUAUUUUAAGUCAAUGAUGUAAAUAUUUUUAAAUGUCUGUUUUAAUUUAUAAUACUGGAAAUACCAAUAUAAACCACGUAAACAGAAGUUCUGUGGAGUCCUCAAUAAUUUUUAGGUGUGAAACAGUGUCCCGAGAUCCACAAGUUUGAGAGCAAGAGCUCUAGGGUUAGCGCUUUGAACUAGUAUUCUGUUAUUCUGCACCAACCCAUAUCAGACAGCAGGCGGCAGCAGAGGCAGUCUGAUAAUGUUAUUAUCCCUUUGCCUUUCUUUAAAGCUAUUAACCGCCUUUUGGGUGUGACCCGAGCCCCCCGUGUGCUGCUGAAGACAUAGAAGAAAUCCAACGUGGAGUUCAUGGUCCAGUGAUUAAGCAGUUGACAAUAGGGGAACCAAGAUCCCCCCUCUUGUGAGCAAAGUAAAGUCAUAAUGAUUGCUGUUAUUCCCACCGACCGGUGCCAAGGCCUGGUGGAGGGGAGGGGGCCCACAGGAUAUGGGGUCAGAGAGGACCCUGAAGCUUCCCAUCCUUUCAAGACUGGAGCUAGGGAUCCAAUAGAAGGAGAAGCAGGCCAGGUAUAAGUUUUUAUUUACUCGACAGAGACAUUUCCCGGAGCCAUCCCCAACCCGUCCACCAUAUGAAAGAGGCCAGCACGGAUUUAUGGCUCUCACCUCUGUCUCCCUUCCGCUUUCCCGGCCACGCCUCCCAGCCUCCUGCCUGGGAUCCUACUUCACUGAGGCCUUCAGGCCUGAUCUUCCUCACCUGCCCUGGCCCCGCUCUCGGCACCCCCCCACCUGGAAGCGGGAAGUGCUGUCUCUCCUCAGUCUCUGGUCAGUGCCCUGUCUCUCUAGCACACUGCUACCCCCUCUCCUUCACAUGGCUUUAGGCUUUAGGUCCUCCUCCAAAAAACAAAAACCCAAAGCCUCCACCUCUGCCUCCUGCCCAGCUGCCACCCAAGUGUGCCCCCUUUGCCAGCGACCCUGGAAAAGGCCGCCCACACCGUGUCCACGUGCACUGCUGCUCCUGCCUUCACCUCUCCCAGGAACCACCCUCGGUCCCCAGCUGCUGACCCCGAUGAUUCAGUCCUGAUGCUCCUGGCCUGCCCCCUUCUCCCCUUCUCUGAUCAGUUUUUCUCUGACUCUGUCCUGGGCUCCAUCCCCUGUGGGGUUUCCUGCUGCAUCCUUGUGAACCACAUUCCCUCCCUGGGGCUGGUCCCCUCCCCCAAAGAUAGGGCAAAACCCCACAAAUUCUCUAUCUCCCUUAUCCCACACAGACACAGUCAGUAGCUUGCUUCUUUCCCCCUAAAUGUUCGUAACCCCUCCAUACCCACCCCAGCUCAGACCCUCAUCUCUCCUUGUCAUCUGGACUCUCAGAAGAGGCCCCAGCUGCUUUCCCUGCCUCAGUCUUCUCCAAAGAGCCACGAGGGUGAGCUCUGAGAAGCCAAGCUGACACAGUCCCCUGCUUGAUCCCUCCCAACACGCCCCUCUGCUGGCAGCACAGAAGCCAAACUCUGUGACAAAGACCUGAGGGACAGGUCUCCCUGUCUACCUCUCCAGCCAUGGGCUCUCUUGACCUUUCCGCUUGGG
Molecule: long non-coding RNA, 6882 nt
Organism: Mirounga angustirostris (Northern elephant seal)
Lineage: Eukaryota; Metazoa; Chordata; Mammalia; Carnivora; Phocidae
Exons: 3
Source: RefSeq, a predicted model, not a curated record